RNAcentral lists this transfer RNA (92 nucleotides) under Trueperaceae bacterium. Its description in RNAcentral is "tRNA-Ser". It matches the Rfam family "tRNA". From Rfam's summary of the family: Transfer RNA (tRNA) molecules are approximately 80 nucleotides in length. Their secondary structure includes four short double-helical elements and three loops (D, anti-codon, and T loops). Lineage: Bacteria; Thermotogati; Deinococcota; Deinococci; Trueperales; Trueperaceae. The record is from RNAcentral.
GGAGAGGUGUCCGAGUGGUUUAAGGAGCACGCCUGGAAAGCGUGUAUGUGGCCAACGCUGCAUCAAGGGUUCGAAUCCCUUUCUCUCCGCCA